This 431-nucleotide ribosomal RNA is filed under the name uncultured bacterium. RNAcentral's name for it is "partial 16S ribosomal RNA". It matches the Rfam family "Bacterial small subunit ribosomal RNA", at positions 29 to 507 of the family's 1533-position model. The record is from RNAcentral.
AACGAACGCUGGCGGCAGGCUUAACACAUGCAAGUCGAACGCCCCGCAAGGGGAGUGGCAGACGGGUGAGUAACGCGUGGGAACAUACCCUUUUCUACGUAAUAGCCCUGGGAAACUGGAAUUAAUACCGUAUACGCCCUACGGGGGAAAGAUUUAUCGGGGAAGGAUUGGCCCGCGUUGGAUUAGCUAGUUGGUGGGGUAAAGGCCUACCAAGGCGACGAUCCAUAGCUGGUCUGAGAGGAUGAUCAGCCACAUUGGGACUGAGACACGGCCCAAACUCCUACGGGAGGCAGCAGUGGGGAAUAUUGGACAAUGGGCGCAAGCCUGAUCCAGCCAUGCCGCGUGAGUGAUGAAGGCCUUAGGGUUGUAAAGCUCUUUCACCGAUGAAGAUAAUGACGGUAGUCGGAGAAGAAGCCCCGGCUAACUUCGUG